UCCUGGUAUACUUUUCCCUGCUCUUUCAGAAUCUGGCAUUAAAAUUAAGCUCACGGGAAGCACUUCAAAGCUAUGGACUUGCAAAAAUCAGUUUUUGGUUCACAUCUGAAUUUUUCAAUAAAACUUGGGGAAUUUUCAGUGUUCUCUAUAAGGAUCAAAAUACCAAGUUUUCAUCAAAAUCAGGAAUGAUGCGCAUGGAACUUUUCUGGACAUUGGUUGAUUUGGCACGGACUGACCCUUUCACAUUUUGCUAAUUGUGUACAGGCUGUGUUUUUAAGCCUGUUUAUAAAGAGCAUGCUGCUGCAGCAUUAACAGUUAACAGUUGUUAACAAUUAAUACUUUAUUUUUACUAGCAGUAAUUUCUGUAUGUUAUAUCUUAAAAUAACAGGAAGCUUGCAGAGAAUAUCAGUCCAGGGGAGUGGUCUGAAAUGAAUGGCUUUGAGUUGGAGGUAUGUGAUCAUGUGUGUGAUUAUAUAGAGAUUUUCUAAUACAGGUAUAUUGAUGAAAUGUGAUUAAAGAGUGUUUUAUCCCAUUGUGAUAAUAAAGGGGUUUCCAAGCCAAGACAAGACUUUGAGGUUGACUGUGGCAUCUACAUGUUGAUGUCUGCUUUAUAUGUGGUGCUGGAUGCUCCCUUUUAUUACACCAUAGUAAGUAGCUCUUUUUAGAGAGCAAUAAAGUAUGUGUGCAAAGAAGUCACUAAAUGACACUAAAUUGAUUUUUAAUAGUUAGACAUGCCGAAAUUGCGGAAAUGGUGGUGCCUGCUGCUAAUGGAAAACUUCGAUCUCCGAAGUUAUGGGAAGGUAUUUGCACACUGGACAAAGGAAUCAGAGGCUGUGCUGAGAGGUGAACAUGCACCUGUAUUCAGACUAAGAAAGCGCAAAUCUGUGGAACUUAGCCUGAAACCAGCAGAAGGGAUGUGCUGGAUGGAGACAACAUAGAAUCCAAGGAGCCAUUCCUCUUUGGUUUUCAGGUCCAAGAGGACAUGGAAUUAUUUUUACAGGCCUGUGUUGACCAGCGGGGCCUUCGGGUUAAUGCUGUCUGUUAUAAGAAUGAUUAAAUUACUGGCACAUGAGUGUGUUGAUUAUUAUUUUUUUAUUUCAUCCUGUUUGUUGUUGCCUUCUAAAUAAAUUUAACAGUUUAUUAAAUAUAA
Long non-coding RNA from Brienomyrus brachyistius, 1150 nucleotides. RefSeq lists it as uncharacterized. The transcript has 4 exons. NCBI's taxonomy places the organism in Eukaryota, Metazoa, Chordata, Actinopteri, Osteoglossiformes, Mormyridae. The record is from RefSeq and is a predicted model, not a curated record.